CUGGCUCAGGACGAACGCUGGCGGCGUGCCUAAUACAUGCAAGUCGAACGGUCUUUCUAUGGAAGCUUGCUUCCACUGAGAAGAUAGUGGCGAACGGGUGAGUAACACGUGGGUAACCUGCCCAUAAGAGGGGGAUAACAUCCGGAAACGGGUGCUAAUACCGCAUAGUUUUCUUGAUCGCAUGAUCGGGAAAGGAAAGACGGCCUUUGUGCUGUCGCUUAUGGAUGGACCCGCGGCGUAUUAGUUAGUUGGUGAGGUAACGGCUCACCAAGACGAUGAUACGUAGCCGACCUGAGAGGGUGAUCGGCCACAUUGGGACUGAGACACGGCCCAAACUCCUACGGGAGGCAGCAGUAGGGAAUCUUCCGCAAUGGACGAAAGUCUGACGGAGCAACGCCGCGUGAGUGAAGAAAGGUUUUCGGAUCGUAAAACUCUGUUGUCAGAGAAGAACAAGUUGGAGAGUAACUGCUCCAGCCUUGACGGUAUCUGACCAGAAAGCCACGGCUAACUACGUGCCAGCCGCAGC
Molecule: ribosomal RNA, 526 nt
Filed under: uncultured bacterium
Lineage: Bacteria
Description: bacterial SSU rRNA
Rfam family: Bacterial small subunit ribosomal RNA
Source: RNAcentral